UAUGUGGAUGCUUGUGUCCCUAGUU
This 25-nucleotide non-coding RNA is filed under the name Mus musculus (house mouse). The record is from RNAcentral. Lineage: Eukaryota; Metazoa; Chordata; Mammalia; Rodentia; Muridae.